GCCCAGAUGGCGGAAUUGGUAGACGCACUAGGUUCAGGUCCUAGCGCCGGCAACGGUGUGGAGGUUCGAGUCCUCUUCUGGGCACCA
Molecule: transfer RNA, 87 nt
Filed under: Lautropia mirabilis
Lineage: Bacteria; Pseudomonadati; Pseudomonadota; Betaproteobacteria; Burkholderiales; Burkholderiaceae
Also listed under: 19 other names
Description: tRNA-Leu
Rfam family: tRNA
About the family: Transfer RNA (tRNA) molecules are approximately 80 nucleotides in length. Their secondary structure includes four short double-helical elements and three loops (D, anti-codon, and T loops).
Source: RNAcentral